UAUCUCAGGUGGUUUUGGUGUAUCUCAGGUGGGUUUGGUGUAUCUCAGGUGAAUUUUGGUGUAUCUCAGGUGGGUUUGGUGUCUCUCAGGUGGGUUUGGUGUCUCUCAGGUGGGUUUUGGUGUCUCUCAGGUGAAUUUUGGUGUCUCUCAGGUGGUUUUGGUCUAUCUCAGGUGGGUUUUGGUGUAUCUCAGGUGUAUCU
Molecule: long non-coding RNA, 200 nt
Filed under: Lonchura striata (white-rumped munia)
Lineage: Eukaryota; Metazoa; Chordata; Aves; Passeriformes; Estrildidae
Description: domestica (Bengalese finch) lncRNA (ENSLSDG00000011229.1)
Source: RNAcentral